This 83-nucleotide transfer RNA is filed under the name Flavobacteriia bacterium. RNAcentral describes it as "tRNA-Leu(cag)". It matches the Rfam family "tRNA". Rfam says of the family: Transfer RNA (tRNA) molecules are approximately 80 nucleotides in length. Their secondary structure includes four short double-helical elements and three loops (D, anti-codon, and T loops). The record is from RNAcentral. Lineage: Bacteria; Pseudomonadati; Bacteroidota; Flavobacteriia.
GCGGAUGUGGCGAAAUUGGUAGACGCGCUAUCUUCAGGCGGUAGUGUCUUCGGACGUGGAGGUUCGAGUCCUCUCAUCCGCAC